This 510-nucleotide long non-coding RNA is filed under the name Nicotiana tabacum (common tobacco). RNAcentral describes it as "long non-coding RNA (NTAB_LNC011530)". Lineage: Eukaryota; Viridiplantae; Streptophyta; Magnoliopsida; Solanales; Solanaceae. The record is from RNAcentral.
CAUGUUCUAAUUCUGCCUUUCAAUUGAAAAUUUACCAUCUCCAGGAAAUGAUUGCCCAUGUUCCAACCUUUCAUCCUUGAAACCUAAGUGGCAUGAACCACCAUCAUCAACACAAAAUUGCAUUGAAAGUUCUACUAUAUCUCUGGCAGCUAGGCUUGCAUGUUCUCUAAACUCAGUCACUGCUUGAGCAGCAGAGGUAGCAUCCUUAAAUUUCAUGUUCCAAUUCUGCCUGCCAACAGAAAUAUUACCAUUACCAUCUCUAGGAAAUGAUUGCCCAUGUUCCAACCUUUCAUCCUUGAAACCUAAGUGCAUGAACCACCAUCAUCAACACAAUAUUUCCUUGAAAGUUCUACAACAGCUCUGGCAGCUAGGCUUGCAAGUUCUGCAAAGUCAGUCGCUGCUUGAGCAGCAGGGGUAGCAUCCUUAAAUUUCAUGUUCCAAUUCUACCUGCCAACAGAACAAUUACCAUUACCAUCUCCAGGAAAUGAUUUCCCAUGUUCCAACCUUUCA